GACACUAGAAGAGGAAGAAGAGUACGAAGCCCCUCCUCCCUGCUACUAUACCCCUGUGCAUAUCCUGUUAGUGCCAGUUUUGUCCAAAAGUUACCCAAGGACUAUGUAAGUGAAGGCAGAGAGAAUUCCAGGAUAGCCCGCUUCGGGGGGGAAGCCCUGUGUCCCACAGACACCCUGAGAGAAAAGGAUUUAACGAUGAAUGUUGGAAGCCGCAGAGACCUAGCUAGUAAGUAGUAAGUGAGGACGGAAGUCCCAGUAGAGGCUCUGCAGACUUGUUCGGCCGACAUCUUGUACCGGAAGGCUCCGGAGGUGCCAGUACCCGUGGUGGAGUAUGCUCUGGAGCAGAGGGGAGGAGGCUUCCUCCCAGCAAUGCGAGCUCUGCAUAUGGUCUUGCGGGUCCUGCGGUACGUGUCUUUACCCCGAUGGAGGUGAAUCUUUAUGCCUGACCGGGUCCAAAGAGUGGAGUCUCAAUUCCUUGUGAAUGGAAGUAACGUGGUUGAGUGAGGGAAGGAAUCACCCUUGGAACAAUGGUGGAAAAUGUUCGUAGGACUGCCUGGUCCGCAUGGAGGAAGGUAGGGGCACUGACGUAAAUGCAGAGGUCUCAGGCACUCCGUUGUUCCAGAGAUAGCUGUCAAGAGGACUGUCUUGGAGGUAGGCAGACAAGGGAGAUGGUGGCCGGGGAGGGGGCCAGUGUUGUAGAGUAGGUGGGGGCCCGGUUGCGGUCCCAGGUAGGGACGCAAGGAGGAGUGUGUUUUCCUGUGGGAAGUGGUGAUGUCCAGUAGGAUGACCAUCCUCACUGGAAGAUGCCGAGCCGAGGGAUGAGGGAGAAUCCCAAGGUUAACCUUGUCCCCACUAAGCAGUGGGAAUAACCAGUCAAGAGGGAGAGAACUGGAGGGGGAACGCUGAACGCGCCAGGUCUGGUAUAUCCUUCAUUCUUGAUGGUAGGCCUUGGAGGGUACCAGCUUCCGAGCCGUCCUCGUGGUACGGUUACCUUCCGGUGAGGAACCUUGUGCUUGCUAGCCGGCCGUUGGUUUUGGGGAGGCUGGCUCGGGGUGACGAGAGUUACCCUGAGCGAGAAGUCCUGAGGAUAUGCCAGGGUCAGACUUCUGAGUGCCAUCGUCGGUGGACUGGGCUUUUCUGGCCAGGAGAGGGAACCCAAAAAGAUGAUUCAUGACUCCACCUUGAUCUGACGGUUCUGCGGCAGAUGAGGAGAAUAAGGGGAACGUAUGCAGUUUAAAGUCCCCAUAGCCGUUAGGGCAUCUGCCGCUGGGGCAGGAGGGUCAUGAUAGCUGGCCCUGAAUUGUGGAAUUUGCGGUUCGAUGUGAGUAGGAGAAGGAUGGCCAUGCGGGUUAGCCUGAUCUUCCUGGUGUUGGUCAGGAGCUGUGCUGCUGAGGACGAUCAGGUCCCUUAAGCCAAUGCUGAUUUGGAGCUAUGGUCCCACCUGUUGGACUGGCGUCAGCGGACCAAAGCCACCAUCGUGAUUCCAGGAGGGUCCGACUUUGGCUGAUAUGAGAUGUAUAGAGGCACCAAGCAAGGGAAUCGUAUCCUGGGUAGGAUCCUGAUCUUUCGGGCAGACUUGUUCGAUUCCGGAUGCAGGGUGUUCAACUGGGGGUCAUGAAGGUGACCCUGUGCGAAUGGAAAGGAAGGUUGUCGUCCCUAGGCAUAAGGACUUCCCGUGGGAAAAGGAGGUGGAUAUCCUUGAUGACCAGAUUCGAUGAUGGUAUCUUGUGUACCCACGGUUCCGAAGUGAGGUGGAGCCCGCCUCUUGGAGGGUUUCUUUAAACCAGGGGAUUAGCCAGGGUGAUCUGUGAGGGAGUAUCCCUGGAGAGAUUGUGUUGGAGCCCUUGGAUGAAGAACCGUCCCUGAGACGGGAAGGCCUGGUCUUGACUGUCUAAGGAGUUCCGGCCCGGUCGGGGCAUGCCCUGGGAGGCAUGGUGGUGAGCGACCUGUAGAGGAGUCUUGGCUGACCGGAGAUGUCGCCACGGUGAACAGCGGAGGUUACCGGGGUGUCUUGUGUUGCUAAACACCUGUGCUGCCUCAAGGGACGCUUUUCAAUGUAUUCCUUGGCGUCCUGGAUUUGGGAGGCUAGGCUGGCAGCUUCUUGGACCAGGACUGGGUGGCCUGGGAGUCCCAGCUUGGGACCACAAUGGAACGUUGGCUUUCUCCUGCUAAGAGAGAGUGUGUGAGAGGGGUCCCUCCACCCUCUUGUCCAUGGAGUCCUAGAAGGAA
This is a long non-coding RNA of Xenopus tropicalis (tropical clawed frog), 2229 nucleotides long. RefSeq lists it as uncharacterized. Lineage: Eukaryota; Metazoa; Chordata; Amphibia; Anura; Pipidae. The transcript has 2 exons. The record is from RefSeq and is a predicted model, not a curated record.